AGGGCGCACAGUGGAUGCCUAGGCACUAGAAGGCGAAGAAGGACGCAACUAACGGCGAAACGCUACGGGUAGCAGUAAGUAAGCAAUGAUCCGUAGAUAUCCGAAUGAGGCAACUCACCAUGAAGAAGACAUGGUAUACCGAAAGGUAGGCAAGACCCAGCGAAUUGAAAUAUCUUAGUAGCUGGAGGAAAAGAAAGCAAAAGCGAUUUUCUCAGUAGCGACGAGCGAAAGGGAAGGAACCCAAAUUCACGGCAUAUGAAAUUUUUGAUAGAUGAACCACUCUGGGAAGGUGGACCGAAGAAGGUGAAAGUCCUGUAAUUGAAAUCAAGGAUGGAAUUAGUGAGAAAGAGUACGGCGAGACACGAGAAAUCUUGUCGGAAUAAGCGAGGACCAUCUCGUAAGGUUAAAUACUAGCUAGUGACCGAUAGCGAACCAGUACCGUGAGGGAAAGGUGAAAAGAACCCCGGGAGGGGAGUGAAAGAGAACCUGAAACUGUGUGCUUACAAGUAGUCAGAGGACGUUAAAGUCUGAUGGCGUGCCUUUUGUAGAAUGAACCGGCGAGUUACGGUAUUUAGCAAGGUUAAGUCUAAAGGGACGGAGCCGAAGCGAAAGCGAGUCUGAAUAGGGCGAGAAGUUGAAUGCUGUAGACCCGAAACCCGGCGAGCUAGCCAUGAGCAGGUUGAAGUUUGAGUAAAAUCAAAUGGAGGACCGAACUAGGGCCUGUUGAAAAAGGCUUGGAUGACUUGUGGCUAGGGGUGAAAUUCCAAUCGAGCUGGGAUAUAGCUGGUUCUCCCCGAAAUAACUUUAGGGCUAGCGUUAAACAAGAGUUUUAUGAAGGUAGAGCACUGAAUAGUAGAUGGUCCCACCUCGGGAUACUGACAUUAAUCAAACUCCGAAUGUCAUAAAACGCGUUUAGCAGUCAGACUGCGAGUGAUAAGGUCCGUGGUCAAAAGGAAAAGAGUCCAGACCGCCAAAUAAGGUCCCAAAAUAUAUGCUAAGUGGAGAAGGAUGUAGAGAUGCAUAAACAACUAGGAUGUUGGCUUAGAAGCAGCCAUCAUUUAAAGAGUGCGUAAUAGCUCACUAGUCGAGUGACUCCGCGCCGAAAAUGUACCGGGGCUAAGCAUAUUACCGAAUUUGCGGAUUCGAUACGAAAGUAUUGAGUGGUAGGGGAGCGUUCCAUAUUGGGAAGAAGCAAGAUCGAGAGGACUUGUGGACUAUAUGGAAGUGAGAAUGCCGGUGUGAGUAACGAAAAGACAGGUGAGAAUCCUGUCCGUCAAAAACCCAAGGUUUCCAGGGGAAGGGUCGUCCGCCCUGGGUAAGUCUGGGCCUAAGGUGAGGCCGAGAGGCGUAGCUGAUGGAUAUCUGGUGUAUAUUCCAGAACUAGUAUAAUGACUGAUGGAGUGACGAAGAAGGCUAGGAUCCGAUUCUUAGUGGAUUGAAUACGAGAUAUCAAGAGGGGAUGUAGGCAAAUCCGCAUCUAUAAAUCAAGAUAUGACAGGUAAAGGAUAACGAAGUCAAGCUUCCAAGAAAAGCUUCUAGGGUUAAUCAUUAUACUACCAGUACCGUAAACCGACACAGGUGGGUAGGAAGAGAAUUCUAAGACGCGCGAGAAAACCCUUGUUAAGGAACUCUGCAAGUUGGCCCCGUAAGUUCGCAAUAAGGGGAGCUCAUGUAAAAGUGAGCCACAGAAAAGAAGCCCAAGCAACUGUUUAACAAAAACACAGGUUUAUGCAAAACCGUAAGGUGAAGUAUAUGAGCUGACACCUGCCCGGUGCUGGAAGGUUAAGAGGAGAGGUUCGAGCAAUCGAAUCCUUGAAUUGAAGCCCCAGUAAACGGCGGCCGUAACUAUAACGGUCCUAAGGUAGCGAAAUUCCUUGUCAGGUAAGUUCUGACCCGCACGAAAGGUGUAAUGUCUUUGGGCACUGUCUCAACAGGGGACUCGGUGAAAUCAAACUGCCGGUGAAAAUGCCGGCUACCCGCGAUAAGACGGAAAGACCCCAUGGAGCUUUACUGUAGGUUGAUAUUGAUAUUUGGUAUGUAAUGUACAGGAUAGGUGGGAGACUAUGAAGCUAGGACGUUAGUCUUGGUGGAGUCGACGUUGGGAUACCACCCUUUGCCUAUCGAGUAUCUAACUAGUGUAAGUGGAUUACAAAGGACAGUGUCAG
Molecule: ribosomal RNA, 2165 nt
Filed under: human gut metagenome
Description: bacterial LSU rRNA
Rfam family: Bacterial large subunit ribosomal RNA
Source: RNAcentral